GUGAACAAAUUGGAAGCCCCUCACGAUUGUGGAUCAUCCUUGGUACUGCCCCUCAGUCACACCUACAGCUUUCAGCCUGAUGAAUGAUUGUGCAGCCGGUGUGGCAAAUGUAGAGGCGGAGCUGUCCUGCCACAUCAAUCAGUUAUAAUACUCUGCAAAAUAAUCUCCUGUUGCAGCUUCCCUCUGGUGGGAUCCAACAAAAAGGCAGAUGACACAAGAGCUGAGUUGAUGUAACCUGUCCAAGUCAGCCUCCCGAGACAUAUAGCAGAGUGACGGGUAGAGACGUGAUCUGGAAGGGCAGACAGAAGAUAUUCAACCCAUUGUCCAUUCUGUAUUUAUAGAUACAUUAAACCAUCUCUUAUCCUUUUGAA
Long non-coding RNA from Felis catus (domestic cat), 371 nucleotides. RefSeq lists it as uncharacterized. The transcript has 3 exons. The record is from RefSeq and is a predicted model, not a curated record. Lineage: Eukaryota; Metazoa; Chordata; Mammalia; Carnivora; Felidae.